RNAcentral lists this ribosomal RNA (291 nucleotides) under Triticum aestivum (bread wheat). RNAcentral's name for it is "partial small subunit ribosomal RNA". Lineage: Eukaryota; Viridiplantae; Streptophyta; Magnoliopsida; Poales; Poaceae. The record is from RNAcentral.
AUGCCCUCCGCAGUGGGUUAUCAACCUACUCUUAGUAUAGAAAUGGGUUCUUUGCAAGAAAGAAUUGCUUCUACUAAAAAGGAAUCUAUAACUUCGAUUCAAGCAGUUUAUGUACCUGCAGACGAUUUGACCGACCCUGCCCCUGCCACAACAUUUGCACAUUUGGAUGCUACUACCGUACUUUCCAGAGGAUUAGCUUCCAAGGGUAUUUAUCCAGCAGACCUCUUUCCGAUGAAAAAUCUUUUUUGUGUAAUUCCAAAUGUGAAGCAAGUCUCCGUAUCUUAUUGGUGA